This 277-nucleotide ribosomal RNA is filed under the name uncultured bacterium. RNAcentral's name for it is "partial 16S ribosomal RNA". It matches the Rfam family "Bacterial small subunit ribosomal RNA", at positions 506 to 784 of the family's 1533-position model. The record is from RNAcentral.
UGCCAGCAGCCGCGGUAAUACGAAGGGUGCUAGCAUUAUUCAAAAUUACUAAACAUAAAGAGCAUGUAGGCGGAUGAAUUAGUCAGAGGUGAAAGCCCCGAGCUCAACUUGGGAACUGCCUUUGAUACUGUUUAUCUAGAGUCCGAGAGGUUAGUGGAAUUCCCAGUGUAGAGGUGAAAUUCGUAGAUAUUGGGAAGAACACCAGUGGCGAAGGCGGCUAACUGGCUCGGUACUGACGCUGAGAUGCGAAAGCGUGGGGAGCAAACAGGAUUAGAUA